RNAcentral lists this long non-coding RNA (1078 nucleotides) under Cyanistes caeruleus (blue tit). RNAcentral's name for it is "lncRNA (ENSCCEG00000017784.1)". The record is from RNAcentral. Lineage: Eukaryota; Metazoa; Chordata; Aves; Passeriformes; Paridae.
AUUUAACCUUUCCACACAAAUACUGUCAAUCUGAUUUUUUAGGCAAUGUGCACCCUCAGCUGACUUACUUCUUCCUCCUCCCAGUCUCCAGAUGGAAAAAUGAUCCAGAACUUUCAUGUUUUUUGUUUUUUGGUUUGUUGUUUGAUUUUUUUUACACAAUUGCAGGGGUUGAAUUACACAUUUUGUUCUAAAGCUACCUGGCAUCCUCUUCAUCAGCUACUGAGCUGAAAUAAAACUCUAGCUGCUUCUCUAGUGGAAGGGGCCUUUCUAUUAAGAAAAAAACAAAACUUGGCCUGGACCCAAAAGUUUAGAACUAGAAUUCCUGAAAAAGCUCCCAUUAACAUUGACACCAACUGCUUGAGCCAUGGAUGUACUGGAGAGAGCAGAGCAAUGGGCCAUAAAGAUGAUUAAGGAACUGGAGCAGCCCUCCCAUGAAGACAAUCAGAGCUGGCACUGUUCAGGCUGGAGAAGGCUCAGGGGGAUCCCAUCAGUGUAUAUAAAUACCUGCAGGGAGGGUGCAAAGAGGACAGAGCCAGGCUCUGCUCAGUGAUGCCCAGUGACAGUGACAGGGCUGGAGGCAACGAGCACGACCUGGAACACAAGAGUUACCUCUGAACAUCAGGGAACUGUUUGUCACUGGCACAGGCUGCCCAGAGAGGUUGUGGAGUCUCCAUCCUUGGAGAUACUCAAAAGGUUCCUAGACACAACUCGGCAACUGGCUCUAGGUUAUGCUGCUUCGAGGCAGAAUGUUGCACCAAAUUACCUCCAAAGGUCCCUUCCAGGCGUAGGCAGCCUGGGACUGUGUGACAGUGUGACAGACCAUGGCACUUCUUCACAUCCCAUCCAUUGGAGAGAUCUUUCCUGCUGCCUUUUUUUUUUUUUUUUAUUCUGGAUAUUCACCACUAGGCCCAAGGAAUCUCUGGACACAGCAGGAGAAUGAAGAAGACAGUGCCUGGAUUUGCCACUCAUCCUCUUAUAUCUGAUUCAUUGGGUGCAGAUGAGGAGAUGACAAACUGUUCUAACAGAUGCAGCAAUCCAUCCUUACACUAAUAAAGAAUCCCAUCCCUCACUCUUUGCA